CAGAAAAAGCACCGGCUAACUACGUGCCAGCAGCCGCGGUAAUACGUAGGGUGCGAGCGUUGUCCGGAAUUAUUGGGCGUAAAGAGCUUGUAGGCGGUCUGUCGCGUCUGCUGUGAAAACCCGAGGCUCAACCUCGGGCCUGCAGUGGGUACGGGCAGACUAGAGUGCGGUAGGGGAGAACGGAACUCCUGGUGUAGCGGUGGAAUGCGCAGAUAUCAGGAAGAACACCGAUGGCGAAGGCAGUUCUCUGGGCCGUAACUGACGCUGAGAAGCGAAAGCGUGGGGAGCGAACAGGAUUAGAUACCCUGGUAGUCCACGCCGUAAACGUUGGGCGCUAGAUGUGGGGACCAUUCCACGGUUUCCGUGUCGUAGCUAACGCAUUAAGCGCCCCGCCUGGGGAGUACGGCCGCAAGGCUAAAACUCAAAGGAAUUGACGGGGGCCCGCACAAGCGGCGGAGCAUGCGGAUUAAUUCGAUGCAACGCGAAGAACCUUACCAAGGCUUGACAUAUACCGGAAACGGCCAGAGAUGGUCGCCCCCUUGUGGUCGGUAUACAGGUGGUGCAUGGUUGUCGUCAGCUCGUGUCGUGAGAUGUUGGGUUAAGUCCCGCAACGAGCGCAACCCUCGUUCUAUGUUGCCAGCGGUUCGGCCGGGAACUCAUAGGAGACUGCCGGGGUCAACUCGGAGGAAGGUGGGGAUGACGUCAAAUCAUCAUGCCCCUUAUGUCUUGGGCUUCACGCAUGCUACAAUGGCCGGUACAAAGGGCUGCGAUGCCGUAAGGCGGAGCGAAUCCCAAAAAGCCGGUCUCAGUUCGGAUUGAGGUCUGCAACUCGACCUCAUGAAGUCGGAGUCGCUAGUAAUCGCAGAUCAGCAACGCUGCGGUGAAUACGUUCCCGGGCCUUGUACACACCGCCCGUCAAGUCAUGAAAGUCGGUAACACC
RNAcentral lists this ribosomal RNA (940 nucleotides) under Microbacteriaceae bacterium. RNAcentral describes it as "bacterial SSU rRNA". It matches the Rfam family "Bacterial small subunit ribosomal RNA", at positions 482 to 1421 of the family's 1533-position model. Lineage: Bacteria; Bacillati; Actinomycetota; Actinomycetes; Micrococcales; Microbacteriaceae. The record is from RNAcentral.